This 482-nucleotide long non-coding RNA is filed under the name Mus pahari (shrew mouse). Its description in RNAcentral is "lncRNA (MGP_PahariEiJ_G0006178.1)". Lineage: Eukaryota; Metazoa; Chordata; Mammalia; Rodentia; Muridae. The record is from RNAcentral.
GGAUAGUGGUACAAACCACUGCAGAGAAGGCAGCAUACAGCCACCCUUCUCCCUGCCUUAUGGUCCAGUUCAGAACCCCUGUCACCAACAUUACCCAGUUCCCAGCUCUGUGACACUUCUGUCCACUCAGCCAGCAGAUGACAGAAGCUUAAAGAUACGAAGGUAAAUGCUCAUCAAAGGGGUAUUCAAAGGAGACACGCAUUCAACUCCUCCGAACACUGGUCGUUAUUUAAGCUCUGUAGCCUUAGGAGACCCUGAGGGUUCUAGAGGCAGCGGGCCAGGAUCUCUGAGCUGUGCAGCCGCUGGAGGGUCUCCAUGAGGAUGAAGAAGGCAGUGGACAGGAGUCAUGAAGACCGAUUCAGAAACUCCACGGCAAGGAGGGAAGAGGUCUGAGCCAUCCCUGUGCCACCGGCGUGAGUCACCCCAGCUCCUGACAGCCAGGGAGGGGGGCUGCCUACAAUUAAAGUCCUCGUUUGCAUCAG